UGGGGAAUAUUGCACAAUGGGCGCAAGCCUGAUGCAGCCAUGCCGCGUGUAUGAAGAAGGCCUUCGGGUUGUAAAGUACUUUCAGCGGGGAGGAAGGUGUUGAGGUCAUAAUACCUCAGCAAUUGACGUUACCCGCAGAAGAAGCACCGGCUAACUCCGUGCCAGCAGCCGCGGUAAUACGGAGGGUGCAAGCGUUAAUCGGAAUUACUGGGCGUAAAGCGCACGCAGGCGGUCUGUCAAGUCGGAUGUGAAAUCCCCGGGCUCAACCUGGGAACUGCAUUCGAAACUGGCAGGCUGGAGUCUUGUAGAGGGGGGUAGAAUUCCAGGUGUAGCGGUGAAAUGCGUAGAGAUCUGGAGGAAUACCGGUGGCGAAGGCGGCCCCCUGGACAAAGACUGACGCUCAGGUGCGAAAGCGUGGGGAGCAAACA
This 428-nucleotide ribosomal RNA is filed under the name uncultured Enterobacteriaceae bacterium. RNAcentral describes it as "bacterial SSU rRNA". It matches the Rfam family "Bacterial small subunit ribosomal RNA", at positions 355 to 774 of the family's 1533-position model. Lineage: Bacteria; Pseudomonadati; Pseudomonadota; Gammaproteobacteria; Enterobacterales; Enterobacteriaceae. The record is from RNAcentral.